RNAcentral lists this ribosomal RNA (292 nucleotides) under uncultured bacterium. Its description in RNAcentral is "partial 16S ribosomal RNA". It matches the Rfam family "Bacterial small subunit ribosomal RNA", at positions 505 to 796 of the family's 1533-position model. The record is from RNAcentral.
GUGUCAGCAGCCGCGGUAAGACGAACCGUGCGAACGUUGUUCGGAAUCACUGGGCUUAAAGGGCGCGUAGGCGGGCCUCCAAGUCCGGGGUGAAAUCUUUCGGCUUAACCGGAAAAGUGCCUUGGAUACUGGGGGCCUUGAGGGAGGCAGGGGCGGAUGGAACUUCCGGUGGAGCGGUGAAAUGCGUUGAUAUCGGAAGGAACGCCGGUGGCGAAAGCGAUCCGCUGGACCUCUUCUGACGCUGAGGCGCGAAAGCCAGGGGAGCAAACGGGAUUAGAAACCCCCGUAGUCC